GGAGCUGAGAGUUAGUGUGGGUGUAGUGGUUAAGAGCGGUAGUCUCAUAAUCUGGUGAACUGGGUUCGAUUCCCCGCUCCUCCA
This 84-nucleotide transfer RNA is filed under the name Podarcis lilfordi (Lilford's wall lizard). RNAcentral describes it as "tRNA.Met". The record is from RNAcentral. Lineage: Eukaryota; Metazoa; Chordata; Lepidosauria; Squamata; Lacertidae.